UGGGGAAUAUUGGACAAUGGGCGCAAGCCUGAUCCAGCCAUGCCGCGUGAGUGAUGAAGGUCUUAGGAUUGUAAAGCUCUUUCACCGGUGAAGAUAAUGACGGUAACCGGAGAAGAAGCCCCGGCUAACUUCGUGCCAGCAGCCGCGGUAAUACGAAGGGGGCUAGCGUUGUUCGGAAUUACUGGGCGUAAAGCGCAUGUAGGCGGAUAUUUAAGUCAGGGGUGAAAUCCCGCAGCUCAACUGCGGAACUGCCUUUGAUACUGGGUAUCUUGAGUAUGGAAGAGGUGAGUGGAAUUCCGAGUGUAGAGGUGGAAUUCGUAGAUAUUCGGAGGAACACCAGUGGCGAAGGCGGCUCACUGGUCCAUUACUGACGCUGAGGUGCGAAAGCGUGGGGAGCAAACAGGGUUAGAUACCCUGGUAGUCCACGCCGUAAACGAUGAAUGCUAGCCGUCGGGCAGUAUACUGUUCGGUGGCGCAGCUAACGCAUUAAACAUUCCGCCUGGGGAGUACGGUCGCAAGAUUAAAACUUAAAGGAAUUGACGGGGUCAUAGCUGUUUCCU
This 560-nucleotide ribosomal RNA is filed under the name uncultured bacterium. RNAcentral describes it as "partial 16S ribosomal RNA". It matches the Rfam family "Bacterial small subunit ribosomal RNA", at positions 355 to 1375 of the family's 1533-position model. The record is from RNAcentral.